GACGGAAGGUGCAAGCGUUGCUCGGAACCACUGGGCGUAAAGGGUGCGUAGGCGGCCGCGCAAGUCUGGCGUGAAAUCCCCGGGCUCAACCCGGGAACUGCGUCCGAUACUGGAAGGCUUGAAUUCGGGAGAGGGAUGCGGAAUUCCAGGUGUAGCGGUGAAAUGCGUAGAUAUCUGGAGGAACACCGGUGGCGAAGGCGGCAUCCUGGACCGGCAUUGACGCUGAGGCGCGAAAGCCAGGGGAGCAAACGGG
This 253-nucleotide ribosomal RNA is filed under the name uncultured bacterium. RNAcentral describes it as "partial 16S ribosomal RNA". It matches the Rfam family "Bacterial small subunit ribosomal RNA", at positions 524 to 776 of the family's 1533-position model. The record is from RNAcentral.